UCUGGCAUCUCUGGUAUUUUCAAGUGUGAGAUAUUAAGAGUAAACAUGUCUAACGAGGAUAUGAAACGCGUUUUCGCUAAUAUCAGGGUUCCUGUGCAUUCAAUUCAAAUAUUCCCUAAUGUCGAUACCAUUUUGAAUUCUAGUGCGGGAUUGCAGCUAAUUUCUUCGAAAAUCCAUGGAACAAGUGGAAGAAAUAUUUCGCAGAGUAUAUGAGUGGCGUAACAUAGAUAUUGUCAGAGCAAUACUGAUCGAACUGGAACUUCCGUUCUCAUUUCUUGAAAUAUGGAUUGAUUCCUCGUUUACUGUGUUUGAUUUACAAUCGAUCUCGUUGGACGAACUCGAAUUAGUUCAUCACAGGUAAAAACUUUAACCCAGAAGAAAUAUUUAGACGACUAAUCGAAUGGAGGAGUAAUAAGAUCUAUGCCGAAGGUUAAAAAGUAGCUGUUUAUACUGUAAUAAUUUCACCUAGAUAUGAUGGAUUGUUUUCAAUAUAUUCUUGUUGAAAUAUAUAACAA
Malaya genurostris is the source of this 515-nucleotide long non-coding RNA. RefSeq lists it as uncharacterized. The transcript is spliced from 4 exons. The record is from RefSeq and is a predicted model, not a curated record. Lineage: Eukaryota; Metazoa; Arthropoda; Insecta; Diptera; Culicidae.